RNAcentral lists this ribosomal RNA (478 nucleotides) under uncultured bacterium. Its description in RNAcentral is "partial 16S ribosomal RNA". It matches the Rfam family "Bacterial small subunit ribosomal RNA", at positions 28 to 507 of the family's 1533-position model. The record is from RNAcentral.
GACGAACGCUGGCGGCGUGCUUAACACAUGCAAGUCGAACGUGAUUUUUGUGGAAAUUCUUUCGGGAAUGGAAAUGAAAUGAAAGUGGCGAACGGGUGAGUAACACGUGAGCAACCUGCCUUACACAGGGGGAUAGCCGUUGGAAACGACGAUUAAUACCGCAUGAGACCACAGAAUCGCAUGAUAUAGGGGUCAAAGAUUUAUCGGUGUAAGAAGGGCUCGCGUCUGAUUAGCUAGUUGGAAGGGUAAAGGCCUACCAAGGCGACGAUCAGUAGCCGGUCUGAGAGGAUGAACGGCCACAUUGGAACUGAGACACGGUCCAAACUCCUACGGGAGGCAGCAGUGGGGAAUAUUGCACAAUGGGGGGAACCCUGAUGCAGCGACGCCGCGUGAGCGAAGAAGGUUUUCGAAUCGUAAAGCUCUGUCCUAUGAGAAGAUAAUGACGGUAUCAUAGGAGGAAGCCCCGGCUAAAUACGUG